This 281-nucleotide unclassified non-coding RNA is filed under the name uncultured fungus. RNAcentral's name for it is "partial contains small subunit ribosomal RNA, internal transcribed spacer 1, and 5.8S ribosomal RNA". The stretch from base 1 to 73 matches the Rfam family "Eukaryotic small subunit ribosomal RNA", at positions 1759 to 1831 of the family's 1831-position model. Lineage: Eukaryota; Fungi. The record is from RNAcentral.
GCAAACUUGGUCAUUUAGAGGAAGUAAAAGUCGUAACAAGGUCUCCGUUGGUGAACCAGCGGAGGGAUCAUUACUGAGUAUUUUACUCUCAAACCCAUGUGAACUUACCACUGUUGCCUCGGUGGUUGGCCGCAGAUCUCUCUCUCGGGGGCGAUCUGGGGUUAUAGCCACCGGUGGACUACUUAAACUCUUGUUUUUAGUGUCUCUCUGAGUAACUAUAAAAAUAAAUUAAAACUUUCAACAACGGAUCUCUUGGUUCUGGCAUCGAUGAAGAACGCAGC